Molecule: ribosomal RNA, 256 nt
Filed under: uncultured bacterium
Lineage: Bacteria
Description: partial 16S ribosomal RNA
Rfam family: Bacterial small subunit ribosomal RNA
Source: RNAcentral
CCUACGGGGGGCAGCAGUGGGGAAUAUUGCACAAUGGGGGAAACCCUGAUGCAGCAACGCCGCGUGAGUGAGGAAGUAUUUCGGUAUGUAAAGCUCUAUCAGCAGGGAAUAGAAAAGAAGGUACCUGAAAAAGAAGCCCCGGCUAACUACGUGCCAGCAGCCGCGGUAAUACGUAGGGGGCAAGCGUUAUCCGGAUUUACUGGGUGUAAAAGGAGCGUAGACGGAAAGGCAAGUCAGAAGUGAAAGCCCAAGGCUC